CCAAAAUGUAGACAUUUGUUGACUUUCGGACGUCACGUUUGACCAUCCGUCUUAUUCAAAAAAUUUUGUGAAUAUAUUAUUUAUUUUAUUAUAAUUUGUUUUAUCGUUAGGUAUACUUCAAGUAUGACUUAUUUGUUUUUAUAUUUCUAUAAAUUUUUUGAAUAGGACGGAUGGUCAAACGUGAUGCGCGGAAACCGAUAAAUAGCUAUAUU
RNAcentral lists this microRNA precursor (212 nucleotides) under Leersia perrieri. RNAcentral's name for it is "MIR812 microRNA precursor family". It matches the Rfam family "MIR812 microRNA precursor family". Lineage: Eukaryota; Viridiplantae; Streptophyta; Magnoliopsida; Poales; Poaceae. The record is from Rfam by way of RNAcentral.